CUCUUGGUGGGGACCAGCUGUGCAGCUCUUCUGGUCAUGUACAGGGAAGGGCUCUCGCCCCCUUGUGGACAUGUCAUUGAUGUUGGGAGCUUUCUGUCCACAGAUUUGAUUUCCAAGCAGCAAGACACAU
Molecule: small nucleolar RNA, 130 nt
Filed under: Neotoma lepida (desert woodrat)
Lineage: Eukaryota; Metazoa; Chordata; Mammalia; Rodentia; Cricetidae
Description: Small nucleolar RNA SNORA57
Rfam family: Small nucleolar RNA SNORA57
About the family: U99 belongs to the H/ACA class of snoRNAs which are thought to guide the sites of modification of uridines to pseudouridines, the target for this family is unknown.
Source: Rfam by way of RNAcentral